This 398-nucleotide ribosomal RNA is filed under the name uncultured bacterium. RNAcentral's name for it is "bacterial SSU rRNA". It matches the Rfam family "Bacterial small subunit ribosomal RNA", at positions 29 to 429 of the family's 1533-position model. The record is from RNAcentral.
AUUGAACGCUGGCGGAAUGCUUUACACAUGCAAGUCGAGCGGCAGCGCGGGGGCAACCCUGGCGGCGAGCGGCGAACGGGUGAGUAACACAUCGGAACGUACCCAGUUGAGGGGGAUAGCCCGGCGAAAGCCGGAUUAAUACCGCAUAAGUCCUGAGGGAGAAAGCGGGGGACCGCAAGGCCUCGCGCGAUUGGAGCGGCCGAUGUCGGAUUAGCUAGUUGGUGGGGUAAAGGCUCACCAAGGCGACGAUCCGUAGCUGGUCUGAGAGGAUGAUCAGCCACACUGGGACUGAGACACGGCCCAGACUCCUACGGGAGGCAGCAGUGGGGAAUUUUGGGACAAUGGGGGAAACCCUGAUCCAGCCAUUCCGCGUGAGUGAAGAAGGCCUCGGUUGUAAG